RNAcentral lists this microRNA precursor (223 nucleotides) under Oryza sativa Japonica Group (Japanese rice). RNAcentral's name for it is "osa-MIR819b". The record is from RNAcentral. Lineage: Eukaryota; Viridiplantae; Streptophyta; Magnoliopsida; Poales; Poaceae.
AGCUACUACCUCCGUUUCAGGUUAUGAGACUUUCUAGCAUUGCCCACAUUCAUAAAGAUGUUAAUGAAUCUAGGCACAUAUAUAUGUCUAGAUUCAUUAACAUAUAUAUGAAUGUGGGCGAUGCUAGAAAAUCUUAUAACCUAUGUGCCUAGAUUCAUUAACAUAUAUAUGAAUGUGGGCAAUGCUAGAAAGUCUUAUAAUAUGAAACGGAGGAAGUACUUAC